CACCAAUAACAUUUCGCGCAACUCCUCACCGCUGGGGCAAACUUGAUGAAAUCCGUGCCAUAUGGUAGCCACCGUUAUGCAUGGCGACCGAGUUUCAGCUCUAUACAAAAAUCAGUCGAAGUGGUCUCCCCCUUCGCCGUGAAAUUGAAACCCAAGCCUCCGUGGUAGGUAAGAGAAAUACAAGACUAAACGACAAGAAUUACACAGAGGCGAGGGGAAUACUUUUACUUUUUCCUGCUGGCCAAUCAGCGCCCAGCCUGCGAUAAACCAAAGAAGAGCGAAGUCGCGGGAGAGCCAAUGGGAAAGCGACUUUUAUUUCACACGUCCGAUUGUGGUUCCGAGGGAAUAGGAGCGGUCCACAUACCUCUAAAGGUAAGAGGGUUAUGUCCUUUUGAUAUUCUUCCGUGAGACUCGGUAAAAGAAUGAGAGAGAAGAAAAGGAUAUUGCAUAUUUAAUGUCUGGAAUUCGGUACACGAUCGCAACCAGCGGCGACACGAAGCCAGCGGCGCACGGAUCCGAACGUGUGUACACUUGCUAAACUGGGUCGUGUGUUCGUGUGUUUGUGUGUAUGUGUGCGUCGUGACGUCGCGAGAAACAGCUGAUCGCAGCCCCACAACAGAGAGCGAGAGGACCGAGAGAGGGAGCGCCCCGUCGGCAGAGAAUCGAGCUCUUUUCACCCCGAAAUCGCAGCCGUUCCGCAGUCGAAAUGGGUCUCGCAGGCGUUCGAAGGGCACCUCUGCCCUGCGGGAGAGAUGGCAGCCCGACAUUCCUUUUGAGAAAGUUUUAUCUUUGACAGACAGGUAUAGACAGAGAUGAUGAUGAUGAUGACUUCGAGGGAUAAGAUUAAGAAUAGGGAUGAUCGGGGAUGGUUAUCCUUAAGGUUUAAAAAGGCGAAAGAGGGAGAAAGAGAGAGAGAGAGAUAACCGUGGCAGACAGAGAACAGGAUGGGAUAUCGCGGUCCGGUAUGUUUCGAAGUGGAAGAGAGGAAAAGAGGUAAAAACAGGGAGGAGCGAAUAAAGAGGAGAAGGACUCCUAAAGGACUCUAGGACUUGGGAGGAAAUAGGCCAAGGACGCGAGCAGAAGGGCCCCUUUGGAAGAAUCGUUGUCAUCCGAUCUCUUAUCUCUCUUGUUUCUUCACCGUCGUCGUAUUAUUUUCCUUGUGGCCUCCUUGUGAGUAUGUGUCAGAACGGUGUGAAAUAAAGACAAAUAUCCAUCCUUUUCAUCAUUAUUGGUAAUUGUUGGAAAGUUAGACAAGAAAAUACAAACUUGUCUCAUUGUAAUUCGUGUUAAAGAAUGUGUAGAGACUGAAAGAAAAAAAAAAUGAAAAUUGCAUCCUGGGGAACUGUGUGUCAUCCUGUGUUGGAAGCAAACCUGUGCUACAUGGAAUGUAUCUUGUUUUGUUAAUGAUGUGUGUAUCCUGGAUGGAUCCGAACUUUAAAAUAACCUGUGUAAUAGUGUGUCGAAUGAAAGGAGCGUAAGGGGCGUGAGGGUGUGUGUGUGGAUACCGUGCAACGGAUUCUGGAACUUUCCCCAAAUACAUUGUAUAAACACACAACGAUAGCGCCUCUGGCCACGAGUCUGUGGGCCAUUCCUUCAAGAAUGAUGAACCAAAUUUCUAAACCUAUUUCUUGGAGGGAAAAAAUGAUUUGGAAAAUUGGAGAAAUAGAGGGGGGUGGGGGGAGUAGAGGGGAACGCUGGUUUUGUACGUAGCCUAAGGUUGCGAGGUGCCUUUUUUUUUUUUUUUUUUGUGUGUGUGUGUGUGUGUGCGUGUGUGUGUGUGAGUCUGUGUCUGUCUUAAUUGUAUUUUGUCCAUGUGAGUUCUAGUUACGAUUAUUUUAUCUCCUUGAAAUGAGAAUGGUAACUGGAAUGAUAAUGGUGGUAGCACUAGUAAAUAUUUAUAAUUUUAUACCUUUUUACAUAACCUUGUGUAGAUAAUAUCUGAUAGGAAGUAACCAUCUUUGGAGGGUUUUUCCCUGUCAGUUAAUAUUUGGUUAGAAAAGAAUAAAAUAUUGAUUAGAUUAAU
RNAcentral lists this long non-coding RNA (2023 nucleotides) under Penaeus monodon (black tiger shrimp). RNAcentral's name for it is "uncharacterized LOC119579323". The record is from RNAcentral. Lineage: Eukaryota; Metazoa; Arthropoda; Malacostraca; Decapoda; Penaeidae.